Non-coding RNA from Citrus sinensis (sweet orange), 94 nucleotides. The record is from Rfam. NCBI's taxonomy places the organism in Eukaryota, Viridiplantae, Streptophyta, Magnoliopsida, Sapindales, Rutaceae.
CAUUGGCAAUGACGAUCGAAAUAUACAGCUUAUAUGCCAGUUCUGCUUCAGAAAAUUCUUGAUUGAUAAAGCUGUUUCAUACUCUGAGCCUCUG